GUGCCAGCAGCCGCGGUAAUACGUAGGGUCCAAGCGUUAAUCGGAAUUACUGGGCGUAAAGCGUGCGCAGGCGGUUGUGCAAGACCGAUGUGAAAUCCCCGAGCUUAACUUGGGAAUUGCAUUGGUGACUGCACGGCUAGAGUGUGUCAGAGGGGGGUAGAAUUCCACGUGUAGCAGUGAAAUGCGUAGAGAUGUGGAGGAAUACCGAUGGCGAAGGCAGCCCCCUGGGAUAACACUGACGCUCAUGCACGAAAGCGUGGGGAGCAAACAGGAUUAGAAACCCGGGUAGUCCA
Molecule: ribosomal RNA, 293 nt
Filed under: uncultured bacterium
Lineage: Bacteria
Description: partial 16S ribosomal RNA
Rfam family: Bacterial small subunit ribosomal RNA
Source: RNAcentral